GACGAACGCUGGCGGCGUGCUUAACACAUGCAAGUCGAACGGUAAGGCCCUUCGGGGUACACGAGUGUCGCGCGGGUGAGUAACACGUGGCUGAUCUGCCCUGCACUUCGGGAUAAGCCUGGGAAACUGGGUCUAAUACCGGCUAGGACUACUGCCUUCACGGGUGGUGGUGGAAAGCUUUUGCGGUGUGGGAUGGGCCCUUGGCUAAUCAGCGUGUUGGUGGGGUGAUGGCCGACCGAGGCGACGACGGGUAGCCGGCCUGAGAGGGGGACCGGGCACACUGGGACUGAGAUAGGGCCCAGACGCCUACGGGAGGCAGCAGUGGCGAGUAUUGCACAAUGGGCGCAAGCCUGAUGCAGCGGCGCCGCGUGAGGGAUGACGGCCUUCGGGUUGUAGACCUCUUUCGGCACCGACGAAGCGCAAGUGACGGUAGGUGCAGAAGAAGGACCGGCCAACUACGUGCCAGCCGCCGCGGUAA
RNAcentral lists this ribosomal RNA (478 nucleotides) under uncultured bacterium. RNAcentral's name for it is "partial 16S ribosomal RNA". It matches the Rfam family "Bacterial small subunit ribosomal RNA", at positions 28 to 523 of the family's 1533-position model. The record is from RNAcentral.